GCCUUGAUGGCCAUAUGUCAUUUUGCCAUUUUCCUUUGACUUCAUGUGUAUUGUAGGGUUACAUGAUAGUAUUCCUGUCGUCACACGGUUCUCUAGAGGCUCUUGCUCACUCUAAUCAUCCUGACUUUGGCUCUAUAGACUGAUGUUCUCUCCAAUUUAGUUGUCGUGUCUGAUCACUUCUGAAUUUUUCUCGUCUCAAACCUUUUCGCUGAAAUUUUUAGGCAUUAAAGCUCAAACGAACUUGAAAGAUAUCAAGGUGGUUACAUAAAUUAACCACUUUCUCAAUUUUGAAAGCUACCUCAUUUCAACAAUUUGUAUCUCUUUAUAAUAUUUCUUCUGCAGAUUCACAUUGCCUCCAUUUCUAACACUCAAGAACUUUGAGGGCUUGGACCUUGGAAAGAUGGACAAGGCUGAUGAUUCUGGUCUGGCAUCAUAUGUUGCUGGGCAAAUUGACAGAUCUCUGAGCUAGAAGUGUUUCAGGAGGCAAUGCAGGAAUUAUGGCUACUCCCUACUUGCUCUCGCAUGAUGGAAUAGAGCUCCAGUUUGCAACAAAUCAUAUUGGUCAUUUUCUUCUAACAAAUCUUUUGUUGGAGAACAUGAAGGAUACAUCCCGUAAAAGUAAUACUGAAGAAGGAUUGUCAUUCUUUCAUCAGAGGGCAACAGAAUGACCUGCCCCUGUGGGAUUCGUUUUGAUAAAAUCAAUGAAGAGAAGGGAUAUGUCAAUUAUCUUUUAAGAAUUUUAGCAGAUAUUUGGCACUGGAGCUUAAAUUUCAGUUCCUGCUUACGCUCAGAAUGAUGAGGAAGAAGGUGAAGAAUGAGAAGAAGAGGGCAUGAGUAAAUGUACAGGAAAGGAGUUGAAGAAGCUUUUGCAGUGUCAUAGCCAUUGUAAAUAAUUUAUGUAAAAGUUUGUAAAUAAUUUAUGUAUCUCUCUACUAUUUUGGUGAAUGUAUUAUUUGAAUAUAAUGAAAUUUGAU
This is a long non-coding RNA of Asparagus officinalis (garden asparagus), 974 nucleotides long. RefSeq lists it as uncharacterized. The transcript is spliced from 6 exons. Lineage: Eukaryota; Viridiplantae; Streptophyta; Magnoliopsida; Asparagales; Asparagaceae. The record is from RefSeq and is a predicted model, not a curated record.